CCUCUACUUUUCCCUUCCUCACAAAGCAAACGCACGGGCCAUGUUCUCCAGCUCCACACGCAACCACUCCUCCGCGUCGCCGCCGCCUCUGCCUCACCCCGACUCCUUCCGCAGCAAUGGCCUACCUCAUCUCCCCUCCGCCGAUGUGGUGCUAGCCACCACCACCGAGCCCUAGCAGCAAAGGGAGCGGUGGCUUAUUCCACGCGUGCAGCGGCGACCCCGGGAGGAGCUCAAGCCGCAGCGAUGGUCCACCGCGCCGGCGCCGUCGUCGACCGGCAGUGGAGGAGCAGCAGCGGCCAACGGCAGAUCGGCGUGUCAUGGGAGCAGACACGGCGGCCGUCACGGGCAGAGCAGAGCGAAGUUGGCAUGGCGGCUAGGCGGUUGUCCGGACUGGAUCCCGCCAUCACCACCAGCCACCGCCUCGUUUGUCCGUGUCCAUCUCGGCGAAACCAAGGGUCUGCCUCGUGUCCUGCGAGGUGACACUCCACCGCCACCGCUCUGCUGCUUCCGCCCUACGCUUUGCUCCCUCCGGUGCCAUCCUCACCUCCGACAAAAAGGACCUCUUGGACGUCAUUGCACAUGCUGGCCUCUUCCGACCCCGUGGCCACCGUGAUCAGGUAAUUGAUUUUGUGUUCCUGGGUUCGGGUAAGAAGCUAGUGACCUGCUCCAAGGACAAGGUUAUCUGGGUUUGGGACCUCGACACACAACACUGCCUUCAAAUUGUAAGGUGUCCAUCACAUCAAGAUAUGGUCGAUGGAUGUUGAUUCUAGCGAGAAGUUUUUGAUGUCUGUCUCGGCCGAUCAAGAGCUGUGGGUGUUCAAAAUCAGGCAAUCAGCUGAACAGGGUGAAGAUUGGAACAAAUGGGAUGCACUUCAGCAUUGAUCUAUUGUGAUUCCUUUUCCCCUUUAAUAACGUGUACGUAUAGGGUAGUCAAGCGCCACAGGAUAUCAUCCUUUGUUGUGGAUGAGAGUGGGAUGAUCAAUCGGAUUGCCGGGGUAGUACAACAUUGAGUCAUUGGCAGUUGGGCUCAACAAGGACAAGGCGUUGUUCACCAUAGGGGUAUUAGGAACAGAGAAAAUACUCACACAAGGCAUGGAGCAGCUACAAACUUGUUAAUGUUAUACACGUCAGCAUUUUCUUCUUCCAGUAUCCCGUGAAUAUUAAAAAUGUUUGCUAACUAAUAGUCAUCACAGUAUCUGAUAUUCGUAGUUUUAUAUAUCAAUUGACAGGUUGAUGAUUUGUCAAAGGAAUUUUAUUGCAAAUUCCUGUAGGCCUGAAAAUGCACACUAUCAUAACAGAGUAAUGUGCAAGUACACAAUGUCAUAGUAGAAAAAUAGAAUUUUGACUGAUUAUUUAACAUCACUGUGAGCUUUCCUUUAAAUUUGUGCCUUUUGAUUUACCCCUGCUAUUGUAUAAGUAUGUGUAGGUUGAUUUUGCUUAUUGUGUGUUUUAUACAGCGAGCAGCUUCCCUUGCGCCGUCAUCCAUCCACCAACAAGCCCAUGACCAUGCAUCAGGUCAUAAAAAAAUUCAAAAAUUAUUUCUUAUCAAUAUGUUUCAAAUAUGUUUCAGUUCUAAAUUUGUUCCCUUUUCCCUUCAUUUUUCCAAGAACGGUACUGUUCGGCAUUAGUAGAUACUUCUACUAAGGGACAGGCAUGUAUGAUAGGUUAAUUUCACUUUUUUUAGGGGGGGGGGGAGAUCUCACUUCAUGUGUAUUAGUCCUUGCCGCAUGUGUGCUUUAUUGUGCAAAAUUGUUCCCUUUUGGAUAGAUGAAAGUGCAGAUUCCACCAAAGUAAAAUUUAGUAGGCUUUAUGUUAUCAAUUUAUUUUUGUUACAUGUUGCUAAAAGUAAAUGAAACGAAUUUCUUUCUGUUUUGGUUCAGAAAUAUUUGAUUUUUGGAGGAGAAAGGUCAUACAAGGAUGAGAAUGGGACACCAUAUUAUAGCGACGUGGUGAUUUUAUUCAGUUUAGUCAGAGGACAUACAUACGUACAAGUAGUUCCCUAAGGCGAAGGCCUUCCAUUUGCUAUUGCUGGCCAUGUAAAAUAGCAUGAACCUGAACCUAACUGCGAUUGGAUGUCUAAACUGAAUUGUUGCAUUCCUAGACAUGGGAAUGUGGAUCAGUUUUAGUUCUGAAGAAUCUGCAUACUUCUGGUCCUAUGUAAUUCCAAUUUAUUUAGACAAGCAUGCCAAAAGUGUUGAAACCCAAGUUAGGGUUCAAAUUCGUGGGGUUGUGCUUGCUGCUAAACUGAUCCUGGACUUUCUGUUGGCUAUAUUAUAAUUAGCAAAUGGAAGUGGAGAGAUAAAGCAUAAAUACUUGAUAAACUUUUUUUGUUGGGGCGGGGGAUGGUUUAGUCCAUAGUUAAAAAAGGCGCGCCUAAGCGCUCGCUUAGGCGCGCCUAGGCUCUAGGCGUUGACAAAACGCAUUGCACAUAACUACGCUUAAUCUGUGCAUAACUACGCAUAGGUUACAAAACGCACAAUUAACGCCUAGCACUUUUUUGAACUAUGGUUUAGGCACUUCAUGCAUUGUUGGUGUUGCAGACUUUUGCACUGCUACUAAAUGUCCUAUAUGUUAUUCUUUAGUAGGGAUGUUGGCAUAGAGAUAUCGCAAUAAUAAAAACGAGAAUCCUCAUUACUCACAUAUAUAUUACUAUGUCCUUUUGUUUCCAUUGAGACCUAUUUUGUUUAUUCUUUUAGUUCCAAGGCAAAAUUCUCUGAUUUUUAGUAAUUCACAUUUAACAAGACAUGUGAAUGGAGGAUGGGAGGCAUUUAGAUGCAAGUCAGAAACUUCUUCUGCUAGCUUAUUUUAAGUUUAUUAUUUCCUUGCUCCCCUUUUCAUUGUAGAGAAUGAAAAGCAUCUUUCACGCUGCCAACGGGAUCUGGACCAAGAAGAGGAUCAGGAGGACGAAUACAGUGGACACUACUACUCAGCAAGAUACAGUUCAAACCCUGUAUCCUCCUGAUUGAUCUCCCUUUGCCCCUGUUUAAGAAUCAUGUUUCACCCAUUCAGUGUUGUCUUCAGAAUUAUAGACACCUCAUUCUAUAAGGAGGCCGCCACCAAGAAGAGCGAGGUUGUGUCAAUGGACUCAGCGACAAGUUGUAGAAAGAAACAAGGCUUAUGUUAGGCAAAGUUGAUUAGGUUGUACUACACACCGAGUGCCUCCAUAAGAAUCUAGAUAAAAUGCCAUAAAAGUUGAAGGGCCUAGCUUGGACAAGAAGGAACAACAUUGGAGCAUUAUCAAGCAUGAAGAUGAAGGCGCGCGCGAAGAGAACAAGAACAUAGUUUGUAGUGGAGAUUUCCGCACUUUGAAGCCACCAUGAUGUCAUAUAAGAAGAUGGAUGAAAUAUACAACAUGGCAUUUUAUAAAUUUCGCCCAUAGCUUAUUAUUGGUGUUGCGCCACCUUAUUUUUUGGGCCAUGUCCAUGUAAUUUUCAAAUACUACUUCAUAGGCUGUUUUUAGAGUCCAUAUUAUAGGAGAAACGAACCAGGAGGUAUUUUAGUCCCACCUUGCCAAGUGUGGACGAAAUCCCAUCUCUUUUCCCCUAUAAAUAUAGCCCUUAAGGCAUCGUUUAGACUUGGGA
Molecule: long non-coding RNA, 3581 nt
Organism: Triticum urartu
Lineage: Eukaryota; Viridiplantae; Streptophyta; Magnoliopsida; Poales; Poaceae
Source: RefSeq, a predicted model, not a curated record